UGAAAAUGCUUAAAGAGGACUUGAUGUCUUCUGGGGCUAGUCCAUCACUGAAUGUGUUGGACUAUGUGAGCAAGUUCCGUGAACGGUUACAUAAAGCUUGCUCGGUGGCGAAGGAGUCACUUGAAGUUGCGCAAAGGAAAAUGAAACGUCUUUUUGACCGCAAAUCUGUACAGCGUUCCUUUAACGAGGGCGAUCAGGUGUUGGUGUUGCUGCCUAUGGUAGGGUCGGCGUUAUCAGCCCGGUUUUCUGGUCCGUACGAGGUGGUACGGAAACUUAGCAAUACAGAUUACGUAAUCGGGACACCCGAUAGAAAACGAAAGACUCGUGUCUGUCAUGUGAAUAUGUUGAAGACUUUUUAUUGCAGAGAGGGUAUCCAGUCCGAUGUUUCGCCGACAGAGGAAACCGCUGUUCACCUGUCCUCCCCGGCUCCUGCCUCCGUGGCAUGCGCUGCGGUGGAAAUCUCUAACCCGGAUGAUGAUGGAGUAAUUGUUCGCCACACUUACCAGCAAUGUGCUCGCCUCAAGAACUCUGAGGUCGCUGUGACUGGCGGAUCGGUCGUCAGUGGGGCGGAGGACGAGGGCCAAUCAGGAGACGGAGCCGCUGCUUAAGAGGGACGGCGGGCUCAUUCUCUGAAACCCCUCUCAGUAUUGCUGACGCUCAGGGCCGCCGAUUGUGGGCUGCUCUCCGGCACCCAGAUUGUUGUGCAUUUCAGACUGUUUUGGAUAAGUGUUUUCGUGUCAUCAGCGGCAUCAGCUGCAAAACCGCGCCGGGGGGAAGAACGGUAGGUUAGUAUAUCGCGAUAUACAUCCUGCCCGUAGUUGUCCUGUGUAUAGACACCCUAGGGUAGAGGUGAGCGCCACCCCCUGUAUUUUUGUUAUUAGAUAGGAGGUGUAGGCGCCGAGUGCGCGAAGACUCCGUUUUUCUUUCGACCUUUUUCUUUGGAUAGGGGUAGGUCGAGGUAGGGGUGUUUUGGUUAUACUUGGUUCUCUCAGUUGGCGCCGCCUACGUUCUUUCCCCAAUGUAUUCAGGUAGGGGUGCUUAUCCCCCUCUUUUCGACUGGGUCCGGGGAGAACAAUAAAACCCCAGUUUUUUUUUCUUUUACAACGUGCCUGCCUUGUCUCCUUUCAUUUACCUCUCCCCCGUGAUACAUCGACAAAUUUUAGUGUUACGGCUGUCCCUAGACCGCCAGUGAUCGUAACAGUGAGGCAGCAAUAUUACAAACGCGUCAUGAUUUUGUCUGUACAUACCUUGGAAUACAUACUUAGGCGCACUAUACGCAGCUCCUCCCGUCCAAACUUCCACUUUCCUGUCAGGGUGUGGGGAAGGCAGGACUCAAACGCAGACUUUCAAAAAACAAAAAGACUUAGAUAAGAAUAGUCAAAAUACAAACGGGGCCAAGGGGCAAAAAUGCAGACGGGAACCAGGAACAUUCAACAAUGACGCCACAAGUGACAAGAGAUACACAGGGCUUAAAUACACUAGGGAGGUGCAGGUGAUUGGACACAGGUGGAAACAAUCAGACAAUCACAGGGGAUGACAGGACAAGGCAGGAAGUGAAGUUACCCACGGAGACAAGAGGCUGAAAAGUACAAAAUAAGACAUGAAACAAACCCAAACCGUG
This is a long non-coding RNA of Gasterosteus aculeatus aculeatus (three-spined stickleback), 1621 nucleotides long. NCBI's taxonomy places the organism in Eukaryota, Metazoa, Chordata, Actinopteri, Perciformes, Gasterosteidae. The record is from Ensembl.